AGCGUACACGGUGGAUGCCCUGGCAGUCAGAGGCGAUGAAGGACGUGCUAAUCUGCGAUAAGCGUCGGUAAGGUGAUAUGAACCGUUAUAACCGGCGAUUUCCGAAUGGGGAAACCCAGUGUGUUUCGACACACUAUCAUUAACUGAAUCCAUAGGUUAAUGAGGCGAACCGGGGGAACUGAAACAUCUAAGUACCCCGAGGAAAAGAAAUCAACCGAGAUUCCCCCAGUAGCGGCGAGCGAACGGGGAGGAGCCCAGAGCCUGAAUCAGUGUGUGUGUUAGUGGAAGCGUCUGGAAAGGCGCGCGAUACAGGGUGACAGCCCCGUACACAAAAAUGCACAUGCUGUGAGCUCGAUGAGUAGGGCGGGACACGUGGUAUCCUGUCUGAAUAUGGGGGGACCAUCCUCCAAGGCUAAAUACUCCUGACUGACCGAUAGUGAACCAGUACCGUGAGGGAAAGGCGAAAAGAACCCCGGCGAGGGGAGUGAAAAAGAACCUGAAACCGUGUACGUACAAGCAGUGGGAGCACGCUUAGGCGUGUGACUGCGUACCUUUUGUAUAAUGGGUCAGCGACUUAUAUUCUGUAGCAAGGUUAACCGAAUAGGGGAGCCGAAGGGAAACCGAGUCUUAACUGGGCGUUAAGUUGCAGGGUAUAGACCCGAAACCCGGUGAUCUAGCCAUGGGCAGGUUGAAGGUUGGGUAACACUAACUGGAGGACCGAACCGACUAAUGUUGAAAAAUUAGCGGAUGACUUGUGGCUGGGGGUGAAAGGCCAAUCAAACCGGGAGAUAGCUGGUUCUCCCCGAAAGCUAUUUAGGUAGCGCCUCGUGAAUUCAUCUCCGGGGGUAGAGCACUGUUUCGGCAAGGGGGUCAUCCCGACUUACCAACCCGAUGCAAACUGCGAAUACCGGAGAAUGUUAUCACGGGAGACACACGGCGGGUGCUAACGUCCGUCGUGAAGAGGGAAACAACCCAGACCGCCAGCUAAGGUCCCAAAGUCAUGGUUAAGUGGGAAACGAUGUGGGAAGGCCCAGACAGCCAGGAUGUUGGCUUAGAAGCAGCCAUCAUUUAAAGAAAGCGUAAUAGCUCACUGGUCGAGUCGGCCUGCGCGGAAGAUGUAACGGGGCUAAACCAUGCACCGAAGCUGCGGCAGCGACGCUUAUGCGUUGUUGGGUAGGGGAGCGUUCUGUAAGCCUGUGAAGGUGUGCUGUGAGGCAUGCUGGAGGUAUCAGAAGUGCGAAUGCUGACAUAAGUAACGAUAAAGCGGGUGAAAAGCCCGCUCGCCGGAAGACCAAGGGUUCCUGUCCAACGUUAAUCGGGGCAGGGUGAGUCGACCCCUAAGGCGAGGCCGAAAGGCGUAGUCGAUGGGAAACAGGUUAAUAUUCCUGUACUUGGUGUUACUGCGAAGGGGGGACGGAGAAGGCUAUGUUGGCCGGGCGACGGUUGUCCCGGUUUAAGCGUGUAGGCUGGUUUUCCAGGCAAAUCCGGAAAAUCAAGGCUGAGGCGUGAUGACGAGGCACUACGGUGCUGAAGCAACAAAUGCCCUGCUUCCAGGAAAAGCCUCUAAGCAUCAGGUAACAUCAAAUCGUACCCCAAACCGACACAGGUGGUCAGGUAGAGAAUACCAAGGCGCUUGAGAGAACUCGGGUGAAGGAACUAGGCAAAAUGGUGCCGUAACUUCGGGAGAAGGCACGCUGAUAUGUAGGUGAAGUCCCUCGCGGAUGGAGCUGAAAUCAGUCGAAGAUACCAGCUGGCUGCAACUGUUUAUUAAAAACACAGCACUGUGCAAACACGAAAGUGGACGUAUACGGUGUGACGCCUGCCCGGUGCCGGAAGGUUAAUUGAUGGGGUCAGCGCAAGCGAAGCUCUUGAUCGAAGCCCCGGUAAACGGCGGCCGUAACUAUAACGGUCCUAAGGUAGCGAAAUUCCUUGUCGGGUAAGUUCCGACCUGCACGAAUGGCGUAAUGAUGGCCAGGCUGUCUCCACCCGAGACUCAGUGAAAUUGAACUCGCUGUGAAGAUGCAGUGUACCCGCGGCAAGACGGAAAGACCCCGUGAACCUUUACUAUAGCUUGACACUGAACAUUGAGCCUUGAUGUGUAGGAUAGGUGGGAGGCUUAGAAGUGUGGACGCCAGUCUGCAUGGAGCCGACCUUGAAAUACCACCCUUUAAUGUUUGAUGUUCUAACGUUGACCCGUAAUCCGGGUUGCGGACAGUGUCUGGUGGGUAGUUUGACUGGGGCGGUCUCCUCCUAAAGAGUAACGGAGGAGCACGAAGGUUGGCUAAUCCUGGUCGGACAUCAGGAGGUUAGUGCAAUGGCAUAAGCCAGCUUGACUGCGAGCGUGACGGCGCGAGCAGGUGCGAAAGCAGGUCAUAGUGAUCCGGUGGUUCUGAAUGGAAGGGCCAUCGCUCAACGGAUAAAAGGUACUCCGGGGAUAACAGGCUGAUACCGCCCAAGAGUUCAUAUCGACGGCGGUGUUUGGCACCUCGAUGUCGGCUCAUCACAUCCUGGGGCUGAAGUAGGUCCCAAGGGUAUGGCUGUUCGCCAUUUAAAGUGGUACGCGAGCUGGGUUUAGAACGUCGUGAGACAGUUCGGUCCCUAUCUGCCGUGGGCGCUGGAGAACUGAGGGGGGCUGCUCCUAGUACGAGAGGACCGGAGUGGACGCAUCACUGGUGUUCGGGUUGUCAUGCCAAUGGCACUGCCCGGUAGCUAAAUGCGGAAGAGAUAAGUGCUGAAAGCAUCUAAGCACGAAACUUGCCCCGAGAUGAGUUCUCCCUGACUCCUUGA
This 2787-nucleotide ribosomal RNA is filed under the name Escherichia coli. RNAcentral's name for it is "bacterial LSU rRNA". It matches the Rfam family "Bacterial large subunit ribosomal RNA". Lineage: Bacteria; Pseudomonadati; Pseudomonadota; Gammaproteobacteria; Enterobacterales; Enterobacteriaceae. The record is from RNAcentral.